This 313-nucleotide ribosomal RNA is filed under the name uncultured bacterium. RNAcentral's name for it is "partial 16S ribosomal RNA". It matches the Rfam family "Bacterial small subunit ribosomal RNA", at positions 355 to 660 of the family's 1533-position model. The record is from RNAcentral.
UAGGGAAUCUUCGGCAAUGGGGGCAACCCUGACCGAGCAACGCCGCGUGAGUGAAGAAGGUUUUCGGAUCGUAAAGCUCUGUUGUAAGUCAAGAACGGGUGUGAGAGUGGAAAGUUCACACUGUGACGGUAGCUUACCAGAAAGGGACGGCUAACUACGUGCCAGCAGCCGCGGUAAUACGUAGGUCCCGAGCGUUGUCCGGAUUUAUUGGGCGUAAAGCGAGCGCAGGCGGUUUGAUAAGUCUGAAGUUAAAGGCUGUGGCUCAACCAUAGUUCGCUUUGGAAACUGUCAAACUUGAGUGCAGAAGGGGGAG